CAUGUACUAAUACUAUGUUAUUUACAUGUUUGAGUAGAUUUUGUUAUUCCAAAAGGAUGCUUUGUAGUUCCAUUUCUUUCAGCAGUCCUUUACAGAGGAAGAAGAUGUAAAUGUAGAUGAUGUAGCUGCUGCUUUUGUAGGUGGGCAAUCUAUCGAGCCUAGUUAUACAACAAGUUUCAAUCUAUGAUAGUACGAGGCAGAUUUUCCUUGCCUGAUCCUACAAUGCCUUAUGGUCGCCAAGACGUGAUAGAGUGGAUUUGUGGGCUAUAGGUUAAAUAUUUGGAGGUACGACAGAUUAUUAGAAGUUGUGCUUUUAAACUGGUGCAGUUCUGAUCUCUGGAAAUAUUCUCACCAUCCAAAGUACUUUGACGAGAAAAAGGAGCAUGUACUACUAUGGGAGUGGAUCAAAAGAGAGAAAUAUUUAUCGUUGAUCUUCUAAGCUAUCAUUAGAAAGUGAAUAAAAGCUAUUAUGAAAUGUGUGUACCUUAAGCCUGAAUAAAGCUUUUGAUCCCUUAUUGACAUCAUCUUGGAGACUUUUAGUAAAGAUUUCUAUAAAGUCAAAAGCAGAAGCAAGGGUGGGUAGUUGUUACCUCAAUUCUUUUUUUUAAUCCCUUUUAUAGUGCAUCUAUUUGUCAUUGAAUUAUAUUUUAGUACAUGGUAUUAUGACUUCAAAUAUUUUAAUAUUUUAAGUUGUUUUCUUGCACUGCAACUAUUACUUGAUAUUAUGAUGCACUUUCUUUGUAUUGCAACCAAGAGCUAAUGAGGUUGUUAUCACACCACUUGCAUUGGCUUCUCAAAGUUUGAAUGUGAAAUAAUAUGUAACAAUGAUUGUGCUCUGUUAAUAAUAUCCAUAGAUUGUUGAUUGUUUUAUUAAAAUGAAGUAAAUUUUACUGAUUUUAUUUUUAUUAGAUAGAUGUGUUUGUUGGCUAUAUCUAGAUAGUCAAGUCUGUGACCUAUAUAAUCCUCCUUAUUGGUGUUUCUAGAUUGAAUAUUGGUGAUGAUAUUUAGUUUUAGUUGGAUUCCAAGAAAACUACGUCUAUUGAGAUUAUGUGUUUUGAUCAUAAAUUGACUCUAAAGCCUGCACUUAACUCUUGCACUGAGGACUUUAAGAAGAGUUCCAUGUGGACAUGGGAAGAGUUAAUUUUCUAUAAGCAAACGUCCAAUGAAAUGCUACUAGACUUUGAGGAAAAAAAAAGAAAUAAUGUUGCACCAAUGUCAGAUUGAUAAAAAGUCAGUUUUUUUAAGCUUUAAAACUUGCAACUUGGGGCAAAUUUUAGGAAUUGGACCCUCCAAGGAGUUUCCAAAUUUAACAAGAAACCGUAAACUGGGGUAGAGCCUUCCGAAGCUUCAGCGUGUAAGCAGCUUCAUCACCACCAAUGUCAUUUGAUGAGUACAAAGUAGCAACGUAAGAGCACCAAUACUAGCUUUAGUUUUCAACUGUAAUGUGAGGUCUGCCAUUUAGAGGUUUAAAUCAUAAUGAAGGAAUGUCAUUAUUAUAUAUGAUAAAUUUUAAACUAUAAUACUGUCAACACUUUUUCAAGUUCUUAAACCUCUUUAUAUCCCCAAUUACAGUUGAUGUAUGUAAAUAGAAACCAUAGGAAUGUUCGCUUUGAUUUAUGGAUUUAUUGAAUUAUUCCAUUGGAACUUGGAAGCAAGUUCUAAUUGGUUAAAAAAUUCAAGUUAUAGAAGAGCAUAGAAAAAUGCAAUCUAUCACAGGCAAGGAAAAGCUUUUGCUGCUAAUGAUGAUACUUGCAAAUUUGAACUUUAUGCUCAUAUUUCUCAUUAAAUGACUUUUAGGUAGCACAAGCACAUGUAGAAGAGGCUAGCUCCAUGCGAAAGCGAUUUGACAAUGAAGAUAUUUUAUAUAUCUUUGAUAAGUAAUGUGCUUUUAUUUAAUUAAUUAAUUCUUUUUCUCUCUUGGGUUUCAACAUACUUGAGUUUGUAUAAUCUUUAUUUUGCUUGACAAUGAAGAUAUUUUAUAUAUCUUUAA
This is a long non-coding RNA of Arachis duranensis, 1990 nucleotides long. RefSeq lists it as uncharacterized. The transcript has 3 exons. Lineage: Eukaryota; Viridiplantae; Streptophyta; Magnoliopsida; Fabales; Fabaceae. The record is from RefSeq and is a predicted model, not a curated record.